This 253-nucleotide ribosomal RNA is filed under the name uncultured bacterium. Its description in RNAcentral is "partial 16S ribosomal RNA". It matches the Rfam family "Bacterial small subunit ribosomal RNA", at positions 524 to 776 of the family's 1533-position model. The record is from RNAcentral.
UACGGAGGGAGCUAGCGUUGUUCGGAUUCAUUGGGCGUAAAGGGUGCGUAGGCGGCGCGGUAAGUCGGGUGUGAAAUCUUGGAGCUUAACUCCGAAACUGCAUUCGAUACUGCCGCGCUUGAGGACUGGAGAGGAGACUGGAAUUUACGGUGUAGCGGUGAAAUGCGUAGAUAUCGUAAGGAAGACCAGUGGCGAAGGCGGGUCUCUGGACAGUUCCUGACGCUGAGGCACGAAGGCCAGGGGAGCAAACGGG